UACGGGAGGCAGCAGUGAGGAAUAUUGGUCAAUGGACGAGAGUCUGAACCAGCCAAGUAGCGUGCAGGAAGACGGCCCUAUGGGUUGUAAACUGCUUUUAUAAGGGAAUAAAGUGAGUCUCGUGAGACUUUUUGCAUGUACCUUAUGAAUAAGGACCGGCUAAUUCCGUGCCAGCAGCCGCGGUAAUACGGAAGGUCCGGGCGUUAUCCGGAUUUAUUGGGUUUAAAGGGAGCGUAGGCCGGAGAUUAAGCGUGUUGUGAAAUGUAGACGCUCAACGUCUGCACUGCAGCGCGAACUGGUCUUCUUGAGUACGCACAACGUGGGCGGAAUUCGUGGUGUAGCGGUGAAAUGCUUAGAUAUCACGAAGAACUCCGAUUGCGAAGGCAGCUCACGGGAGCGCAACUGACGCUGAAGCU
Molecule: ribosomal RNA, 416 nt
Filed under: uncultured bacterium
Lineage: Bacteria
Description: bacterial SSU rRNA
Rfam family: Bacterial small subunit ribosomal RNA
Source: RNAcentral